UGGGGAAUAUUGCACAAUGGGGGAAACCCUGAUGCAGCGACGCCGCGUGAGCGAAGAAGGUUUUCGAAUCGUAAAGCUCUGUCCUAUGGGAAGAUAAUGACGGUACCAUAGGAGGAAGCCCCGGCUAACUACGUGCCAGCAGCCGCGGUAAUACGUAGGGGGCAAGCGUUGUCCGGAAUCACUGGUCGUAAAGGGUUCGCAGGCGGAAAUGCAAGUCAGUUGUGAAAGGCAGAGGCUCAACCUCUGUAAGCAAUUGAAACUGUAUUUCUUGAGAUGUGGAGAGGCAAGUGGAAUUCCUAGUGUAGCGGUGAAAUGCGUAGAUAUUAGGAAGAAUACCGGUGGCGAAGGCGACUUGCUGGACACAAACUGACGCUGAGGAACGAAAGCGUGGGUAGCAAACAGG
This 403-nucleotide ribosomal RNA is filed under the name Fusobacteriota bacterium. Its description in RNAcentral is "Fusobacteria bacterium partial 16S ribosomal RNA". It matches the Rfam family "Bacterial small subunit ribosomal RNA", at positions 355 to 776 of the family's 1533-position model. The record is from RNAcentral. Lineage: Bacteria; Fusobacteriati; Fusobacteriota.